Molecule: ribosomal RNA, 498 nt
Filed under: uncultured bacterium
Lineage: Bacteria
Description: partial 16S ribosomal RNA
Rfam family: Bacterial small subunit ribosomal RNA
Source: RNAcentral
AUUGAACGCUGGCGGCAUGCCUUACACAUGCAAGUCGAACGGUAACUGGUCUUCGGAUGCUGACGAGUGGCGAACGGGUGAGUAAUACAUCGGAACGUGCCUAGUAGUGGGGGAUAACUACUCGAAAGAGUGGCUAAUACCGCAUGAGAUCUACGGAUGAAAGCAGGGGAUCGCAAGACCUUGCGCUACAAGAGCGGCCGAUGGCAGAUUAGGUAGUUGGUGGGAUAAAAGCUUACCAAGCCGACGAGCUGUAGCUGGUCUGAGAGGAGGAUCAGCCACACUGGGACUGAGACCCGGCCCAGACUCCUACGGGAGGAAGCAGUGGGGAAUUUUGGACAAUGGGCGCAAGCCUGAUCCAGCAAUGCCGCGUGCAGGAUGAAGGCCUUCGGGUUGUAAACUGCUUUUGUACGGAACGAAAAGCCCCGGGUUAAUACCCUGGGGUAAUGACGGUACCGUAAGAAUAAGCACCGGCUAACCACGUGCCAGCAGCCGCCGUAA